GGAUUGUGGCUUAGUGGUAGAGCUCUUGCCUCGCAUGCGUGAGGCACUGGGUUCAAUAAUCAGCACCA
Molecule: transfer RNA, 68 nt
Filed under: Marmota monax (woodchuck)
Lineage: Eukaryota; Metazoa; Chordata; Mammalia; Rodentia; Sciuridae
Description: tRNA.Ala
Source: RNAcentral